This is a long non-coding RNA of Hemicordylus capensis (graceful crag lizard), 2693 nucleotides long. RefSeq lists it as uncharacterized. The transcript has 3 exons. The record is from RefSeq and is a predicted model, not a curated record. NCBI's taxonomy places the organism in Eukaryota, Metazoa, Chordata, Lepidosauria, Squamata, Cordylidae.
AACUGGUUUACACAGAAGGAUAAAUAAUACAUAAAUAAGAUGAUCCAGUACCAGUACCAUUGACCAAAGCAAGCACCUUCUGCACCAGGAUAGGUGUGUGGAAAUAUUGCUCUAUGUCCACCAGUAGGUGGCACUAACAUUUGCUAGAGGUGAUUCUCAUUGGAGGCAGAGUCCCUCCCUACUUCCUGCCUGUACUUCUUGUUGAACUUGACUCUUCCGGUCACAGAAUAAAGUAGCCUUAGCUUAUUAUAGCUGCCUUCCUUUGAGGCUGAGCUCUCAUGACAUGGUGUCAGAAGUCCAUUUGAAUCCACAAACUUUUGAAAUGGCUCACUUUCCUGCACCAGAAGCUUUCAGCUUUGACAAUCCUGCUGCUUGGCCAGAAUGGAAAGAAAGAUUUGCUUGCUUCAGACUAGCUACAAAGCUCCACAAAGAAGAAGGCGUUGUGCAAAGUAAGUGACUUUCUUUAUGCCAUGGGAAAGGAAACAAACAGCAUCUAUAAAUCCUUUACCUUUGCUGAAGAAGGUCAGAAGAAUGACUAUGAGACUGUCUUGGCUAAAUUUGAUGCCCAUGUCAUUCCAAAAUGGAAUGUGCUCUAUGAGAGGGCUUGCUUUUAUCAAAGGACACAGAAAUCUGGGGGAAAGAUUGAGUCAUUUGUUAGAGGACUGCAUGAACUCUCUGAGCACUGUGACUUUGCAGACCAGAAGGAAGAAUAUCUCAAAGACAGGCUUGUCCUUGGGAUUCUGGAUAAAGGGCUAUCAGAGCAAAGGCAACUCACAGAAAAGCUAACUCUUCAUAAAGCUAUUGAAAUGGCAAGGCAAUCGGAGUUAAUAAAAGCACAGAUCAGGGAGCAGAGGAAACCUGAAACCAGUUUGGAAGAAAUAGCCUUUUUUCUACAAAACACUAAGAACAGAAAGAGUAGCUCCUUUGGAAAUGCAAAUUUUAAAUCUGGAGCUGCAAGGGCCGAACAAAAGAAAUCCCCAAGCAAAGCAGCCCAACCAUUUCAAAAGCACACUGCAGCAAAAAGGCAUACACUCCCAGUCUGCAUGAUGUGGGAGGAUGCAUGCAUAACAUACUUUAGAGGAAUUUGUCCUGCUAGAGGUGCAAGAAAUGUUCAAAAAUUGGGCACUUUGCAAUUGCAUGUCAUACACAGAAGUUACCACAGAAGUGGAGGAUCAAUUGUUCUUAGACUUCAUUCUUUGCAAAGACACUGAACCUGCAUCGAGGAUUGAUUUAAUGAUUAACAGCAAGACUGUAAAUUUCAAAAUAGAUUCAAGCGCGGAUGUCUCAGUGUUCUCAAAGGAGACCUAUGACAGCCUCCAGAAUCCUCCACCACUACACCAAACGGAGACUAUUCUACGCAGCCCAGGAGGUCCCUUAGACUGUAUGGGAUACCUUAUGACACAAACCAGUCAUAAAGGCAACUAAUAUGAGUUUUCUGUGUAUGUGCUUAGAGCCCAUGAGAGCUAGACAAUCUCCUCAGUCGAGUAGCUUCCAGAAUGGGACUGAAGAAAGCAGUGGGAGAAAUAGGAGUGAUUGGGGACAUUGGCCUGCUCAGCGGAGACCCUGUGGACAUUGUCUUAAGACAGGAUGCUAAGCCAUAUAGAGUCCAUGCUCCCCGCAGGAUUCCCAUUCCCUUACUCCACAAAGUGGAAAUAGAGCUGGAAAGGUUGAAGGCACAUGGCGUAAUUAAAGAAAUCACAGAGCCUACACCGUGGUGUGCACUAGUGGUCCCAGUCACAAAGGAAAAUGGAAAAAUCUGUAUAUGUGUAGAUCUGAAAAGACUCAAUGAAGCAGUUGUUAGAGAAAAAUAUGUACUCUCAACCCUGGAAGAUCUUCCAAAAGGGCUGGGAGAAAUUGCUUUACAGUGGCUUCAUUUCUUCCUGCUGGUCCUGAAGUGCAUGGAGUCCCUCAAAGCUGUCCACGGAGAAAACAUUCUCAUCUGAUGAAGCAAUUUUGCGCAACUCAUCUUUAGCUGCUUCUUGUGUACGGAAAAACUGACCAACCUGGAACACACAAUAGGGAGAUCCCUUUGGAUGGAGGGCAGGCGAUAUCUACCCCCUUCUGGAACCACGCAUGUCCUUCUAGAACCUUCCACCUCCCAAACAGAAACGCUGCCCCUGAAAUGAAAAACCACACUUUACCUCCUUGAGCAAAGAACCCGCACUCAAACAGGAAGACAUCGAUUCCACGGAACCACCCCCACUCCAAACACAGAAGAUAUAAACUCAUCAGAACAAUAAACUGAGCAGAUUCAUAGAUUUGCAGUUACUUUAUUUCAGCAUCAGCAAUGUCACCAAAGCCAGACAGUGCCCCCAAGACCCAUUGAAAUAGCAAGUUAACAAGCGUGGAAUUCCAAAGAUCAGGGGCCGCAACGGAGAAGGUCCUCUUUCUCCCAUGCCCACCUGCAUUUGGCCAUUGUGGCUGGGGACGGUGGGAGUUGUCGCCCAACCUCUGGAGGAGGCAGAGAACCCCUGCAUGAGGGCUUUAACACAGGGGUGGAUUAAGCUCUUCGCUGCCUGUAGGCGGCCAAAGAUUUGCCAUCCCAGCAGCAAGGGAGGAAGGGGGGCGGAUUCAAUUCUACUUUUUAACAUUUAGAUUGCCACCACACAGUAGUGCGGCAGCACAAGCUCCUGUUGCACCUGCCCACCCACCUCCCAAAUUAUGGCGGCAGCAGUGGGGUUUGUGUGGGAUAC